UACGUAGUGGGCAAGCGUUGUCCGGAAUCAUUGGGCGUAAAGAGCGUGUAGGCGGUCCGGUCAGUCGGUUGUGAAAGUCAAGGGCUCAACCCUUGAACGCCGGCCGAAACUGCCGGGCUAGAGUCCGGAAGAGGUGAGUGGAAUUCCUGGUGUAGCGGUGAAAUGCGCAGAUAUCAGGAGGAACACCAAUGGCGAAGGCAGCUCACUGGGACGGUACUGACGCUGAGACGCGAAAGCGUGGGGAGCAAACAGG
Molecule: ribosomal RNA, 253 nt
Filed under: uncultured bacterium
Lineage: Bacteria
Description: partial 16S ribosomal RNA
Rfam family: Bacterial small subunit ribosomal RNA
Source: RNAcentral